CAAAUGGCCCUUUUCAGGGCCACCAAAUCUUUCAUACAAGGAACUAU
Molecule: non-coding RNA, 47 nt
Organism: Habropoda laboriosa
Lineage: Eukaryota; Metazoa; Arthropoda; Insecta; Hymenoptera; Apidae
Source: Rfam